Molecule: long non-coding RNA, 509 nt
Filed under: Homo sapiens (human)
Lineage: Eukaryota; Metazoa; Chordata; Mammalia; Primates; Hominidae
Description: HSALNT0203613
Source: RNAcentral
GAAUCAUUUGCCUAAGGUGUGAGCACAGAUCUGGACACCCAGCUCAGUGAAUGGAGAAGAUCAGGGAAAGUCUGAAUGAAGGCCAGCAGGCAGUAUCAGCCGAACCAAGAAGGGCCAUAAAGCUGCAGACCAGGAAAUCUGCCCUCUGAGAGCACAGAAUUUAGAAUGGACAGCAAAUUUAGUAAAAGUAGGUGUUCCAGCUAGAAGAUUUGGAUGAAAAGUGAUUCCAAAAAAAUGAGGCAAUCUCAUCCCGAAACUAUUUAAAACUACUCUCCUCUCUCUUGAUAAACCGUCAGUAGGAAGUGUGUCGUUUAUUCCCUCACUCCACACUGGAUUCAUAUGGGCUGAUAGCAGCAGGAUUAAAAAUUUUUUUCAUCAUGAGUUAAAUCCCUAAGAUUUAGAGUAUUUUGUUUGUCUGAAUGUCUAAGCGGUACAAACCUUAGCAAUCCAUAUUAAAAUGGAGAAUUCCUUCUUUUGGUAUUCACAAGCAUAACAUACAUAAUCCUUUA